This is a long non-coding RNA of Perca fluviatilis (European perch), 659 nucleotides long. RefSeq lists it as uncharacterized. The transcript is spliced from 5 exons. Lineage: Eukaryota; Metazoa; Chordata; Actinopteri; Perciformes; Percidae. The record is from RefSeq and is a predicted model, not a curated record.
UAAAGGGUUCAUACCCUGCAGAAAUAAAUAAAGGGCAGAAGCAAAGCCUAAGGAAAUACUCCUCGAAAUUCAGGAUUCACGAUGGAGAACUACUCUUUGGCAGUCACAGAAGAGUCAUAAAGACAAAGGAGGAGGCUAUGAAUUUAUUUAAAGAAUUUCAUGCCUCACCUAUUGGAGGACAUACAGGAACCUUAAAAACACAAGCUGCCAUUUGUUCACGGUUCUACUGGUAUGGCAUGACAGUGGACAUUGACAAAUGGAUAUCUGAAUGUGACCAAUGUCAACGGGUGGGACCACCCCUGAAUGCAGUUAAAACUCUGGACUGGAUCAAGGUAUCUGCUGUUUGGGAGCUCAUCGGCAUUGAUCUCACUGGUCCACUCCAAAAAACAUCUACUGGGUAUCAGUAUAUAUUGACAGUCACUGACUAUUUUUCCAAGUGGGUGGAGGCCUUUCCUCAAAAGACAAAGUCUGCAUUGGAAGUAGCCAAAAACCUUUGUACAGUCAUUAUAGACAUGGCUGCCCUAAGCUCAUACUGUCAGACCAAGGACGAGUUGGUCAAUCAAAUCAACAGAACACUUUGUGAGCUGCUCUCUAUUGAGAGGAGUGUUACGGCUGCUUACCAUCCCCAAACAAAUGGGCUUGAUGAGAAAACCAAUGAU